CUCAAAGAUUAAGCCAUGCAUGUCUCAGUAUAAACGAUUUAACAGUGAAACCGCGAACGGCUCAUUACAACAGGUAUAAUUUACUUGAUCUUGAAAGAAUCCUACUUGGAUAACUGUGGUAAUUCUAGAGCUAAUACAUGCCCUAAAGCUCUGACCUCGCGGGAAGAGUGCAUUUAUUAGAUCAAAACCAAGCGGCUUCGGCCGUCUACCACUGACUUAAAGUAACUAAGCUGAUCGUAUGGUCUUGUACCGACGACGUAUCUUUCAAGUAUCUGCCUUAUCAACUUUCGAUGGUAGUGUAGUGGACUACCAUGGUUGUGACGGGUAACGGAGGAUAAGGGUUCGGCUCCGGAGAGGGAGCUUGAGACACGGCUACCAUGUCUAAGGACAGCAGCAGGCGCGCAAAUUACCCACUCUCAGAACGAGGAGGUAGUGACGAAAAAUAACGAGACCGUUCUCUAUGAGGCCGGUCAUCGGAAUGGGUACAAUCUAAACCCUUUAACGAGUAUCUAUGAGAGGGCAAGUCUGGUGCCAGCAGCCGCGGUAAUUCCAGCUCUCAAAAUGCAUAGAAUUAUUGCUGCGGUUAAAAAGCUCGUAGUUGGAUCUGUGCUGGGAACUGGGUCCGCCUUCGGGUGUGCACUCAGCUUCCCGGCUUUUUGCUGGUUUUCCCGUUGUGGCCUUUACCGGUUGCAGCGGGUGGCUGGCGAGUUUACCUUGAAGAAAUCAAAGUGCUUAAUACAGGCGAUUUGCUUGAAUGUGGUGCAUGGAAUAAUAGAAAAGGAUUUCGGUUCUCUUUUAUUGGUUUUACGAGCUGAGAUAAUGGUUAACAGAGACAAACGGGGGCAUUCGUAUCGUUGCGUGAGAGGUGAAAUUCUUGGACCGCAGCGAGACGAACUACAGCGAAAGCAUUUGCCAAGAAU
RNAcentral lists this ribosomal RNA (920 nucleotides) under Aphelenchus avenae. RNAcentral's name for it is "SSU rRNA". It matches the Rfam family "Eukaryotic small subunit ribosomal RNA", at positions 36 to 965 of the family's 1831-position model. Lineage: Eukaryota; Metazoa; Nematoda; Chromadorea; Rhabditida; Aphelenchidae. The record is from RNAcentral.